Molecule: small nuclear RNA, 107 nt
Organism: Ochotona curzoniae (black-lipped pika)
Lineage: Eukaryota; Metazoa; Chordata; Mammalia; Lagomorpha; Ochotonidae
Source: RefSeq, a predicted model, not a curated record
GUGCUUGCUCUAAGAGCACAUAUACUGAAACCGGAACGAUACAGAGAAGAUUAGCAUGGGCCCUGUGCAAGCAUGACAUGCAAAUUCACGAGGCAUUCUGAAUGUUA